Small nucleolar RNA from Dunckerocampus dactyliophorus (ringed pipefish), 77 nucleotides. The record is from RefSeq and is a predicted model, not a curated record. Lineage: Eukaryota; Metazoa; Chordata; Actinopteri; Syngnathiformes; Syngnathidae.
UAAACAAGUGAUGAGCUUUUGUUACCGCCCCAGUCUGAUUUUUAAAUUCAUGACUGAUUGGUCUCCUCUGAUCUCAG